Molecule: long non-coding RNA, 862 nt
Organism: Carassius auratus (goldfish)
Lineage: Eukaryota; Metazoa; Chordata; Actinopteri; Cypriniformes; Cyprinidae
Exons: 3
Source: RefSeq, a predicted model, not a curated record
GAAUAGGGCUUCCGACAUUCGUCACACCGAAGGUGUUCCCAUAGUGGUGAGGUCACCGCAGCAUCUCGUUCCCUAUUCAGGGAACCAUGGUUACAUACGGUUACAAACUGAAUUCUGAAUAAAUUGCCAUCCAUAGGAGAGCGCGAUCGGCAGACGGCUGCUGCUGAUCAGACAGCCAAUUUAGAGAGACCCACUCAUUGACUCAACGGUCAGGUUUUUUUGCCAGAUUCAUUCAAGUGACGCACAUGGAUCGGAAGUCACGCCCGACCUGGAGUUGAAGCCUUCCGGUUGAAUUGGGAUUGGAUGUUUGCACCCUGAAACCCCGAAAGAUUCCCAGCGUACGUUGGGUGGCGAGCCACGGACCCACGAGCAUAAGUCUAUGCGCAGUCUCACUUCCCCUCCUUCACGGAUUGUGUGGUAGGAUCCACGAGCACUGGCAUACUGAUACUGUCGCGACACUGAUUCAACCAAAGAAAAAAAAGGUCCCCAACGAGCAAUAAGACUAUUUUUGGAACUGGGUUUUAUUUAUUUUGUUUUAAGUGAAACUUAUGCCGGCUUUAUUAUUUUCUUUUUUCUUUAUGUACAUUCUCUGAACUAAAUUGUUACACUGUUUGUUAUUGUUCCUGUUGUUAAACAAAGAGUGAUCACAAUAACGCAAAUUACUGUUUUCUGUCUUUUUUGAUGUCAAAGCACUGGCUCUUAAAGAUUUAGCAUCUUCUGUUACUGGUCCAAAUACUAUUAAAGAUAACUAAUUACCUGUUACCCUGUUACUAUAGGUCCUUCUCAAAAAAUUUGCAUAUUGUGAUAAAAGUUCAUUAUUUACCAUAAUGUAAUGAUAAAAAUUAAACUUUCAUAUAUUUUA